Molecule: unclassified non-coding RNA, 3609 nt
Filed under: Gorilla gorilla (western gorilla)
Lineage: Eukaryota; Metazoa; Chordata; Mammalia; Primates; Hominidae
Description: external transcribed spacer
Rfam family: mir-663 microRNA precursor family (bases 2039-2128)
Source: RNAcentral
GCUGACACGCUGUCCUCUGGCGACCUGUCGCUGGAGAGGUUGGGCCUCUGGAUGCGUGCGGGGCUCUGGCCUACCGGUGACCCGGCUAGCCGGCCGUGCUCCUGCUUGAGCCGCCUGCUGGGGCCCGCGGGCCUGUGGUUCUCUCGCGCGUCCGAGCGUCCCGACUCCCGGUGCCGGCCCGGGUCCGGGUCUCUGACCCACCCGGGGGGCGGCGGGGAAGGCGGCGGGGGCCACCCUGCCCCCGUGCGCUCUCCGCUGCGGGCGCCCGGGGCGGCUGCGACAACCCCACCCCGCUGGCUCCGUGCCGUGCGUGUCAGGCGUUCUCGUCUCCGCUGGGUUGUCCGCCGCCCCUUCCCCGGGGUGGGGAGUUGGCCGGGGCCGAUCGGCUGGUCUGGCUGGCCGGCCGGCCGGGUGGCCGACCUCCGCUCCCGGGGGGCUCUUCACGAUCGAUGUGGUGACAUCAUGCUCUCCCGGGCCGGGUCCGAGCCGCGCCGGGCGAGGGGCGGACGUUCGUGGCGAACGGGUCCGUUCUUCUCGCUCCGCCCCGCGGGGGCCCCUCGUCUCUCCUCUCCCCGCCUGCGGGUGGUGCGUGUGGGAAGGCGUGGGGUGCGGAACCCGGCCUGACCUCGGCGUCCCGCCCGCCGCCUUCUGCGUCGCGGGACGGGUCGGCGGGGUCCUCUGACGCGGCAGACACCCCUCGCUGUCGCCUCCCGUGGUUGUCGACUUGCGGGCGGGCCCCCUCCGCGGCGGUGGGGGUGCCGUCCCGCCGGCCCGUCGGCUGCCCUCUCCGGGGGUUUGCUCGAGCGUCGGCUCCGCCUGGGCCCUUGCGGUGCUCCUGGAGCGCUCCGGGUUGUCCCUCAGGUGCCCGAGGCCGAGCGGUGGUGUGUCGUUCCCGCCCCCAGUGCCCCCCUCCUCCGGUCGCCACCGCGGUGUCCGCGCGUGGGUCCUGAGGGAGCUCGUAGGUGUGGGGUUCGAGGCGGUUGAGUGAGACGAGACGCGCCCCUCCCACGCGGGGAAGGGCGCCCGCCUGGUCCGGCGAGUGCACGUCCCGUGCUCCCCCUUGGCGGGUGCGCGCGGGCCGUGUGAGCGAUCGCGGUGGGUUCGGGCCGGUGACGCGUGCGCCGGCUGGCCGCCGAGGGGCUGCCGUUCCGCCUCCGACCGGUCGUGUGUGGGUUGACUUCGGAGGUGCUUUGCCUCGGAAGGAAGGAGGUGGGGGGACGGGGGGGCCUCGUGGGGUUGCGCGCACGCGCGCACCGGCCGAGCCCCCGCCCUGACCGCGAACGCUCAAGGUGGCCGCACGCAGGUGUUUCCUCGUACCGCAGGCCCUCUCCCUUCCCCAGGCGUCCCUCGGCGCCUCUGCGGGCCCGAGGAGGGGUGGCUGGCGGUUGGGGAGUGUGACCCACCCUCGGUGAGAAAGCCUUCUCUAGCGAUCCGAGAGGUGUGCCUUGGGGUACCGGAUCCCCCGGACUGCCGCCUCUGUCUCUGCCUCUGUUAUGGUAGCGCUGCCGUAGCGACUCGCUCGCAGAGGACCCUCCUCCGCUUCCCCCUCGACGGGGUUGAGGGGGGAGAGCGAGGGUUCCGCCGGCCACCGCGGUGGUGGCCGAGCGCGGCUCGUCGCCUACUGUGGCCCGCGCCUCCCCCUUCCGAGUCGGGGGAGGAUCCCGCCGGGCCGGGCCCGGCGUCCUGGCGGGUUGGGACGUGGCGGCCGGCGAGCGGUGGUGGGUGUGUGCUGCGCGGUGUACCGCCCGGCGCGUGAGUCCCUCCGCCGUGAGUCGGCUCUCCGCCCGCUCCCCUGCCGAGUCGUGACCGGUGUCGGCGACCGCGUUUUGCGUGGCGUGGGGUCGGGCCGCCUGGGCCCUGGGAAAGCGUCCCGCGGUGGGGGCGCGCCGGUCUCCCGGAGCGGGGCCGGGCCGGAGGAUGGACGAGAAUCACGAGCGACGGUGGUGCUGGCGUUGGGUUCGUGGCUGCGGUCGCUUCGGGGUCCCCGGUGGCGGGACCCCGGGGCUCGCGAGGCGGAUCUCGGUGGGGGGGCCGAGGGCCGUCCGGCGUCCCAGGCGGGGCGCCGCGGGACCGCCCUCGUGUCUGUGGCGGUGGGAUCCCGCGGCCGUGUUUUCCUGGUGGCCCGGCCGUACCCGAGGUUUCUCCCCCGAGCCGCCGCCUCUGUGGGCUCCUGGGUGCCCUUGCCCGUCUGUGCCCUCUUCCCUGCCCGCCGCCUGCCGAUUCCCCUCUUCUCCCCGAGCGGCUCACCGGCUUCCCGUCGGUUGGCGGCCCCGCCUGGGACCGAACCAGGCACCGCCUCGUGGGGCGCCGCCACCGGCCACUGGUUGGCCCGGUGUCCGUGUCCCCCGGCGCGCGCCUUCGGGACCGGGUCGGUGGCGCCCCGCGUUGGGGCCCGGUGGGCUUCCCGGAGGGUUUCGGGGGUCGGCCUGCAGCGCGUGCGGGGCGAGAGAGGGUUCCGGGGAACCGGCCGCGACUGCGGCGGCGGUGGGGGGGAGCCGCGGGGGUCGCCGAGGGCCGGUUGGCCGCUCCGGGUGCCGCGCGGGGCCGCCUUCGCGCUCGGAGGGUGCCGGCGGUGAGACCCCCGCGUGUGUCCCGGCCGCGGUCGGCUGCGCUCGAGGGGUCACGUGGCGUCCCCCUUCCCCGCCGGCCGCCUUUCUCGCGCCUUCCCCGUCGCCUCGGCCUCCUCGCCCGUGGUCUCUCGUCUUCUCCCGGCCCGCUCUUCCGAACCGGGUCGGCGCGUCCCCCGGGUGCGCCUCGCUUCCCGGGCCUGCCGCGGCCCUUCCCUGAGGCGUCCGUCCCGGGCGUCGGCGUCGGGGAGAGCCCGUCCUCCCCGCGUGGCGUUGCCCCGUUCGGCGCGCGCGUGCGCCCGAGCGCGGCCCGGUGGUCCCUCCCGGACAGGCGUUCGUGCGAUGUGUGGCGCAGGUCGACCCUCCGCCUUGCCGGUCGCUCGCCCUCUCCCCGGGUCGGGGGGUGGGGCCCGGGCCGGGGCCUCGGCCCCGGUCGCGGUCCCUCGUCCCGGGCGGGGGCGGGCGCGCCGGCCGGCUUCGGUCGCCCUCCCUCGGCCGUCGUGUGGCGUGUGCCACCCCUGCGCCCGCGCCCGCCGGCGGGGCUCGGAGCCGGGCUUCGGCCGGGCCCCGGGCCCUCGACCGGACCGGUGCGCGGGCGCUGCGGCCGCACGGCGCGACUGUCCCCGGGCCGGGCACCGCGGUCCGCCUCUCGCUCGCCGCCCGAACGUCGGGGCCGCCCCGCGGGGCGGGCGGAGCGCCGUCCCCGCCCCGCCGCCGCCCACGGGCGCCAGCCGCGCGCGCGCGUGUGGCCGCCGGUCCCUCCCGGCCGCCUCCUCGCGGGCGGGCGCGACGAAGGGUCGCGGGUCCGUGGCGUGAGCCCGGCGUGGGGCGGUGGCUGUGCCGCGCGGGGCGGGUGGUUGGGGUGUCCGGUUCGCCGCGCCCCGCCCCCGCCGCCACCGUCCCGGCCGCCGCCCCGCGCCCGCCCGCCGGCUGGCUCGCUCCCUCCCGUCCGUCCGUCCGUCGUCCUCCUCGCUUCCGGGGCGCCGGGCCCGUCCUCGCGAGGCCCCCGGCCGGCCGCGUCGGGGCCUCGCCGCGCUCUACC